RNAcentral lists this ribosomal RNA (510 nucleotides) under uncultured bacterium. Its description in RNAcentral is "bacterial SSU rRNA". It matches the Rfam family "Bacterial small subunit ribosomal RNA", at positions 19 to 518 of the family's 1533-position model. The record is from RNAcentral.
AUGGCUCAGAUUGAACGCUGGCGGCAGGCCUAACACAUGCAAGUCGAACGGUAACAGGAAGCAGCUUGCUGCUUGCUGACGAGUGGCGGACGGGUGAGUAAUGUCUGGGAAACUGCCCGAUGAGGGGGAUAACUACUGGAAACGGUAGCUAAUACCGCAUAAUGUCGCAAGACCAAAGAGGGGGGACCUUCGGGCCUCUUGCCAUCGGAUGUGCCCAGAUGGGAUUAGCUUGUUGGUGAGGUAACGGCUCACCAAGGCGACGAUCCCUAGCUGGUCUGAGAGGAUGACCAGCCACACUGGAACUGAGACACGGUCCAGACUCCUACGGGAGGCAGCAGUGGGGAAUAUUGCACAAUGGGCGCAAGCCUGAUGCAGCCAAUGCCGCGUGUAUGAAGAAGGCCUUUGGGUUGUAAAGUACUUUCAGCGGGGAGGAAGGGGUUAAGGUUAAUAACCUUAGCCAUUGACGUUACCCGCAGAAGAAGCACCGGCUAACUCCGUGCCAGCCGCCGC